This 75-nucleotide transfer RNA is filed under the name Candidatus Nealsonbacteria bacterium RIFCSPHIGHO2_01_FULL_43_31. RNAcentral's name for it is "tRNA-Ala". It matches the Rfam family "tRNA". From Rfam's summary of the family: Transfer RNA (tRNA) molecules are approximately 80 nucleotides in length. Their secondary structure includes four short double-helical elements and three loops (D, anti-codon, and T loops). Further hydrogen bonds mediate the characteristic L-shaped molecular structure. tRNAs have two regions of fundamental functional importance: the anti-codon, which is responsible for specific mRNA codon recognition, and the 3' end, to which the tRNAs corresponding amino acid is attached (by aminoacyl-tRNA synthetases). tRNAs cope with the degeneracy of the genetic code in two manners: having more than one tRNA (with a specific anti-codon) for a particular amino acid; and 'wobble' base-pairing, i.e. permitting non-standard base-pairing at the 3rd anti-codon position. Lineage: Bacteria; Candidatus Nealsoniibacteriota. RNAcentral also lists the same sequence under 1 other name. The record is from RNAcentral.
GGGCCCUUAGCUCAAUGGUAGAGCGCUUCAUUUGCAAUGAAGAGGUUACCAGUCCGAGUCUGGUAGGGUCCACCA